Molecule: ribosomal RNA, 840 nt
Filed under: uncultured soil bacterium
Lineage: Bacteria
Description: bacterial SSU rRNA
Rfam family: Bacterial small subunit ribosomal RNA
Source: RNAcentral
AGAAUCAACGCUGGCGGCGUGCCUAACACAUGCAAGUCGCACGAGAAAGUGGAGCAAUCCAUGAGUAAAGUGGCGCACGGGUGAGUAACACGUGAAUCAUCUACCUCCGAGUGGGGAAUAACUGAGAGAAAUCUUGGCUAAUACCGCAUGAUACCCACGGGUCAAAGCAGCAAUGCGCUUGGAGAGGAGUUCGCGGCAGAUUAGCUAGUUGGCGGGGUAAUGGCCCACCAAGGCGAUGAUCUGUAUCCGGCCUGAGAGGGCGCACGGACACACUGGAACUGAAACACGGUCCAGACUCCUACGGGAGGCAGCAGUGGGGAAUUUUGCGCAAUGGGGGAAACCCUGACGCAGCAACGCCGCGUGGAGGAUGAAGCCCCUUGGGACGUAAACUCCUUUCGACCGGGACGAUAAUGACGGUACCGGUGGAAGAAGCCCCGGCUAACUUCGUGCCAGCAGCCGCGGUAAUACGAGGGGGGCAAGCGUUGUUCGGAAUUAUUGGGCGUAAAGGGCGCGUAGGCGGUGCGGUAAGUCACCUGUGAAAUCUCCGGGCUUAACUCGGAGUCUGCAGGCGAAACUGCCGUGCUGGAGUAUGGGAGAGGUGCGUGGAAUUCCCGGUGUAGCGGUGAAAUGCGUAGAUAUCGGGAGGAACACCUGUGGCGAAAGCGGCGCACUGGACCAUAACUGACGCUGAGGCGCGAAAGCUAGGGGAGCAAACAGGAUUAGAUACCCUGGUAGUCCUAGCCCUAAACGAUGGAUGCUUGGUGUGGCCGGUACCCAAUCCGGCUGUGCCGAAGCUAACGCGAUAAGCACCCGCCUGGGGAGUACGGUCGCAAGGCUGAA